Molecule: ribosomal RNA, 564 nt
Filed under: uncultured Arcobacter sp.
Lineage: Bacteria; Pseudomonadati; Campylobacterota; Epsilonproteobacteria; Campylobacterales; Arcobacteraceae
Description: bacterial SSU rRNA
Rfam family: Bacterial small subunit ribosomal RNA
Source: RNAcentral
AGAUUAGCUUGCUUUAGCUGUCAGCUAAGUGGCGCACGGGUGAGUAAUGUAUAGGUAAUAUGCCUCUUACUAAGGGAUAACAAUUGGAAACGAUUGCUAAUACCUUAUAUUCCUUUUUAUCAAAAGAUAAAAAGGGAAAGAUUUAUUGGUAAGAGAUUAGCCUGUAUUGUAUCAGUUAGUUGGUGGGGUAAUGGCCUACCAAGACGAUGACGCAUAACUGGUUUGAGAGGAUGAUCAGUCACACUGGAACUGAGACACGGUCCAGACUCCUACGGGAGGCAGCAGUGGGGAAUAUUGCACAAUGGACGAAAGUCUGAUGCAGCAACGCCGCGUGGAGGAUGACACAUUUCGGUGCGUAAACUCCUUUUAUAUAAGAAGAUAAUGACGGUAUUAUAUGAAUAAGCACCGGCUAACUCCGUGCCAGCAGCCGCGGUAAUACGGAGGGUGCAAGCGUUACUCGGAAUCACUGGGCGUAAAGAGCGUGUAGGCGGAUUGAUAAGUUUGAAGUGAAAUCCUAUAGCUUAACUAUAGAACUGCUUUGAAAACUGUUAAUCUAGAAUGUGG